GAAUUGGACCAGAUGUAAGUUUUCAUGC
This 28-nucleotide non-coding RNA is filed under the name Bombyx mori (domestic silkworm). Lineage: Eukaryota; Metazoa; Arthropoda; Insecta; Lepidoptera; Bombycidae. The record is from RNAcentral.